Molecule: ribosomal RNA, 243 nt
Filed under: uncultured Clostridia bacterium
Lineage: Bacteria; Bacillati; Bacillota; Clostridia
Description: partial 16S ribosomal RNA
Rfam family: Bacterial small subunit ribosomal RNA
Source: RNAcentral
CUAGCUGUAAACGAUGGGUACUAGGUGUAGGGGUUUCGAUACCUCUGUGCCGCAGUUAACGCAGUAAGUACCCCGCCUGGGGAGUACGUGCGCAAGCAUGAAACUCAAAGGAAUUGACGGGGGCCCGCACAAGCGGUGGAGCAUGUGGUUUAAUUCGAAGCAACGCGAAGAACCUUACCAGGGCUUGACAUCCCCUGACCGCCAUGGAAACAUGGCUUCCCUUCGGGGCAGGGAGACAGGUGG